Aedes aegypti (yellow fever mosquito) is the source of this 310-nucleotide long non-coding RNA. RefSeq lists it as uncharacterized. The transcript is spliced from 2 exons. The record is from RefSeq and is a predicted model, not a curated record. NCBI's taxonomy places the organism in Eukaryota, Metazoa, Arthropoda, Insecta, Diptera, Culicidae.
AUCAUACGUAUGUUGACAGUCGGAAGUAAGUUUGCCGUCAGCAAAAUUAUAAUGUGUUCCGAAAUUCCCGCCAAGAAAACUAGCGAUGGAAUCCCGCUGGAUGAUCCGACACUGAAGGGAUUCACGCGGUACUUCAAUGCGUCGACCAUUCGUGGGAGAGCGAAUGUAUCAAAAGCAACCAUAGCCGGAAUGUUCAUAGGAUGGAUCUAUUUCAAAUUUUUGAGGUGCGAUAAAAAAGAAAUGCCAAAGAAAGUUUAACUAAUGCAUACCCUUGUAAAACCAAGAACGUCAAAAUAAAUCUGCAAACAUA